UUAUCUACGGUUAUAGCUCUAACUGCUUGUACGCUGCCGUAAUUGUAGUACGCCGAAAUAGGAUGCAAUUGAAACUGAAGUUUUGGGGGUUAUUGAGACACCACGAAAUCCACCCACACCUAAGGAAUGUCGUGUUUGUUUACAUGAGCAGUUUAACAUAAUGGCGUUGUGAUGGCGCUACAAGUCUAACAAAUGCUGUAAAGGAGGUCGUAUUUAUUACAUCAUAGAUAAUAGUAUUACAUUUUGCUUAGAUGUUGUGUACAUUAGAGCUCGUGUGAGAUUUUUAUUUGUUUGAGAAGUUAUUAUUGUUGUAAUAAUGUUUUGUUGUUGUGUUCCAAGUUGUUCAGAGCGAUCUGAAAAGGGUACACGACUAUUUUUACUACCACAGGGUAAAGAAAAUGAAGAAAGACAAAAAAAGUGGAUCAUUAACAUUAAACGUGAUGGGCAACUACCUGCAUUUACUUAUGUCUGUGAGAAGCAUUUCAAAUAUUACCAUUGAUUGUAGGAGUUCUCUUCUCCAGAAAGUAGCAGUAUCCCAAGAAAUUGUAAAAGCGCUUUUUUCCGCAAUAAAGACAUUACUUGUUAAUUUGUGGAAAUGAAUUAUCAACACUACGGUACACUACACAGAAUUUAAUACAGUCAAGAGUACAAAGAAUAAAAACUCGGGAUGCCAUGUAUUAUGCGACAUUGGUUCCUCAUUCACUCCAGAUAGUAGAAGUAGCUGAAGUCCUGAGGAGAGCGUGAAGGUGCCUUUUUUACAUUUGGAACAGAAACAGUGUGUUAUUGCUAAAGGAAAGAUUUAUGAAACUAUGAGACGGAUUGAUUGGUUAACAAAUGGGGGAGAUUGGAAAGUUAAUUUUAACCCUAACGAUGACUACAUGGGAUGUCUGCAUGGGUAUCCUUUCUGAAUUUGGUUUUCAUUCCACACAUGUAAA
Molecule: long non-coding RNA, 935 nt
Organism: Agrilus planipennis (emerald ash borer)
Lineage: Eukaryota; Metazoa; Arthropoda; Insecta; Coleoptera; Buprestidae
Exons: 4
Source: RefSeq, a predicted model, not a curated record